Aedes albopictus (Asian tiger mosquito) is the source of this 58-nucleotide non-coding RNA. NCBI's taxonomy places the organism in Eukaryota, Metazoa, Arthropoda, Insecta, Diptera, Culicidae. The record is from Rfam.
UAGCCUAGUGGUUAAGGCCAUGGAUCGCCAAUCCGGAGACGGCGGGUUCGAUUCCCGU